Molecule: non-coding RNA, 73 nt
Organism: Strongylocentrotus purpuratus (purple sea urchin)
Lineage: Eukaryota; Metazoa; Echinodermata; Echinoidea; Camarodonta; Strongylocentrotidae
Source: Rfam
GCCUGGUUAGCUCAGUCGGUAGAGCAUCUGACUUUUAAUCAGAGGGUCGCGGGUUCAAGUCCCUCAUCGGGCG